Molecule: long non-coding RNA, 675 nt
Organism: Cicer arietinum (chickpea)
Lineage: Eukaryota; Viridiplantae; Streptophyta; Magnoliopsida; Fabales; Fabaceae
Source: RefSeq, a predicted model, not a curated record
CUAUCCCUCUUCAUCUCCUCAGACAAGAAACAAGUUUAUCAUUUGUUCCAUACAAAAGGAACACUAAUUCUUUGUGAAGAAUUUAGAGAGAGAUAAUUAAGUUAAAGGCCUUUUUUUUUGUCAUUAUUAUUAUUAUUAUUAUUUUCUCCCUGAUCCUCCUCCAUCUCCUAUUAAUCCAGAAGUACUAAUUAAUGAAGGGUUAGCAUAGUUUGAUGCAAUUUGCAGGCUUAAGGAAGGUUACACAUCAGAUUCACUCAAUCGAUUCUUAUGAAGGUUAAAGGUUGUGAAAUAUGAUCAUAUUGUGGAGUUUCCUUAAUUGAAAUCCUCCUGCAGAAGCUUCAAUGGUGUGGGAAAUUAGAACAGUAAUAAUAUGUAUUUUUUGUUUUUUAAUUUGAGAUCAGUUCAUCUUGUUAUGUAUGUGUAUUAUAAAUAAGAUAUAUUUUGUUUCUGAUAAACAAAUAUUAGUGGUUAGUAAUUAGUUAAGAGAUCGAGUUCUGAAUUUCCUGCUUCAAACUCCUUCAAUGUUGUGUAUUCUUCUUCAAAAGAAAAUUGAAUUAGCCUCUUACAAAGAUGUAUAAUUGUAUAUAUAUAUGUAUUAUGAAGAAUAUGAGUGACCACAUGGAUUGUAAUUAAAGAUCUAUAUAUACAAAAUUAUGCAUAAAGCUCUUACAAAUA